Molecule: long non-coding RNA, 601 nt
Organism: Solanum pennellii
Lineage: Eukaryota; Viridiplantae; Streptophyta; Magnoliopsida; Solanales; Solanaceae
Exons: 3
Source: RefSeq, a predicted model, not a curated record
CUAAAUCAGGACCCAAAUAAAAUAACAAAAACAAAAAAACUAGUAAACAAAAAAGGAAAUUGAAGAGCCACUCUUCUAAUUUAUUAAACUUCAAUUUAUUCCAUCUUCUUCUUCUCUAAUCAAUCCAAGUUGUUGGCUAUUGAGAUCUCUUAACCCAAAAGCAACAACUGAAAGGAGAUAUAAGUUGGAGCUUGGUCGAAUUUCACUUAGUCUCUCAAAGCCCUCACGAAUGUCAUGAAGUCGAUACCAAAGAAGACUUCUUCAGCUCCAUUUAUCUCCAUUUUCGAUCAACUUCACGGUUGAACCCUAAGAAGGUUGAUACCAUUGCUAAAGGUCCAGAUCUAGAGGAAUUUGGUCUCGGGAGUCCAGAAUUGAGUUGUAUACAUCAGUAUAGAUAUAAUAUAUAGUACUCCAUUCGUUUCAAAAAGAAUUAUCUAAUUUGACUUAGUACGGAGUUUAAGAAAAGAAAGAAGGUCUUUUAAUUUUGUGAUUUUAAAUUAAAGCUAUGUCAAAUGUACAAAAAUGUUCUUUAAUCUUAUGGCCUAAAACAUGUCACGUGAAAAGUUAAAGUUAAAAUUUUGCUAAAAAAAGUUAUUUUGUU